AGAGUUUGAUCCUGGCUCAGGAUGAACGCUAGCUACAGGCUAACACAUGCAAGUCGAGGGGCAGCAUGAUCGAAGCUUGCUUGAUGAUGGCGACCGGCGCACGGGUGAGUAACGCGUAUCCAACCUUCCCUGUACUAGAGGAUAGCCCGGCGAAAAGUCGGAUUAAUACUCUAUGUUAUUCGAUGCGGACAUCUAAUUUGAAUCAAAGGUUUACCGGUAUAGGGAUGGGGAUGCGUCUGAUUAGGUUGUUGGCGGGGUAACGGCCCACCAAGCCUACGAUCAGUAGGGGUUCUGAGAGGAAGGUCCCCCACAUUGGAACUGAGACACGGUCCAAACUCCUACGGGAGGCAGCAGUGAGGAAUAUUGGUCAAUGGACGGAAGUCUGAACCAGCCAAGUAGCGUGCAGGAUGACGGCCCUAUGGGUUGUAAACUGCUUUUAUACAGGGAUAAAGUCAGUUACGUGUAACUGUUUGUAGGUACUGUAUGAAUAAGGACCGGCUAAUUCCGUGCCAGCCGCCGC
This 520-nucleotide ribosomal RNA is filed under the name uncultured bacterium. RNAcentral's name for it is "bacterial SSU rRNA". It matches the Rfam family "Bacterial small subunit ribosomal RNA", at positions 8 to 518 of the family's 1533-position model. The record is from RNAcentral.